This 255-nucleotide long non-coding RNA is filed under the name Nicotiana benthamiana. RNAcentral describes it as "long non-coding RNA (NBEN_LNC010760)". The record is from RNAcentral. Lineage: Eukaryota; Viridiplantae; Streptophyta; Magnoliopsida; Solanales; Solanaceae.
UAAAUCUUAAUCCUCUUUGCAAACCAAGUGAAGUUGCUUAUACCCUUAUACCUACCAUGGGUUAUUUCGAGUUCUUACCCGUAACUCGUGAAGAUGAAGGACCAGAAAAAGCUAACAUAAUUUCGAGUUCUUACCCGUAGCUCGUGAAGAUGAAGGACCAGAAAAAGCUAACAUAUAUGACAAAAGUGAUUUGGUAGAUCUUGUUAAUGUGGAACUUGGACAUGAAUACGAACUUGUGGUCACCACUUAUGCAGG